CCCUUAGAUGUUCUGGGCCGCACACGCGCUACACUGAAGGAGGCAGCGUGUACUCCUGGAUCGAAAGAUUUGGGUAACCCGCGAAUCUCCUUCGUGCUAGGGAUUGAGGUUUGCAAUUAUCCUUCAUGAACGAGGAAUUCCCAGUAAGUGCAAGUCAUAAGCUUGCGCUGACUACGUCCCUGCCCUUUGUACACACCGCCCGUCGCUCCUACCGAUUGAGUGGUCCGGUGAAUAAUUCGGAUUGCGGUGCUGGAGCUUCGGCUACUAGCGCUGUGAGAAGUUUAGUGAACCUUAUCACUUAGAGGAAGGAGAAGUCGUAACA
This 322-nucleotide ribosomal RNA is filed under the name uncultured eukaryote. Its description in RNAcentral is "partial 18S ribosomal RNA". It matches the Rfam family "Eukaryotic small subunit ribosomal RNA", at positions 1470 to 1796 of the family's 1831-position model. The record is from RNAcentral.